RNAcentral lists this ribosomal RNA (459 nucleotides) under uncultured bacterium. Its description in RNAcentral is "partial 16S ribosomal RNA". It matches the Rfam family "Bacterial small subunit ribosomal RNA", at positions 338 to 795 of the family's 1533-position model. The record is from RNAcentral.
CCUACGGGAGGCAGCAGUGAGGAAUAUUGGUCAAUGGCCGAGAGGCUGAACCAGCCAAGUCGCGUGAGGGAAGACGGCCCUACGGGUUGUAAACCUCUUUUGUCGGGGAGCAAAGCGAACCACGUGUGGUUCAUUGAGAUUACCCGAAGAAAAAGCAUCGGCAAACGCCGUGCCAGCCGCCGCGGUAAUACGGAGGAUGCGAGCGUUAUCCGGAUUUAUUGGGUUUAAAGGGUGCGCAGGCGGAGUUGCAAGUCAGCGGUCAAAUUGCGGGGCUCAAGCCCGUACUGCCGUUGAAACUGCAUCCGUUGAUUGCGCGAGAAGUAUGCGGAAUGCGUGGUGUAGCGGUGAAAUGCAUAGAUAUCACGCAGAACGCCGAUUGCGAAGGCAGCAUACCGGCGCGCAACUGACGCUCAUGCACGAAAGCGUGGGUAUCGAACAGGAUUAGAUACCCUAGUAGUC